UGGCGAACGGGUGAGUAACACGUGGGUGAUCUGCCCUGCACUUUGGGAUAAGCCUGGGAAACUGGGUCUAAUACCGAAUAUACCUCUCCUGCUGCAUGGUGGGUGGGGGAAAGCUUUUGCGGUGUGGGAUGGGCCCGCGGCCUAUCAGCUUGUUGGUGAGGUUACGGCUCACCAAGGCGACGACGGGUAGCCGGCCUGAGAGGGUGAUCGGCCACACUGGGACUGAGAUACGGCCCAGACUCCUACGGGAGGCAGCAGUGGGGAAUAUUGCACAAUGGGCGCAAGCCUGAUGCAGCGACGCCGCGUGGGGGAUGACGGCCUUCGGGUUGUAAACCUCUUUCAGUAGGGACGAAGCGCAAGUGACGGUACCUACAGAAGAAGGACCGGCCAACUACGUGCCAGCAGCCGCGGUAAUACGUAGGGUCCGAGCGUUGUCCGGAAUUACUGGGCGUAA
This 454-nucleotide ribosomal RNA is filed under the name Mycolicibacterium monacense. RNAcentral describes it as "bacterial SSU rRNA". It matches the Rfam family "Bacterial small subunit ribosomal RNA", at positions 96 to 563 of the family's 1533-position model. Lineage: Bacteria; Bacillati; Actinomycetota; Actinomycetes; Mycobacteriales; Mycobacteriaceae. The record is from RNAcentral.